RNAcentral lists this ribosomal RNA (747 nucleotides) under uncultured bacterium. RNAcentral's name for it is "bacterial SSU rRNA". It matches the Rfam family "Bacterial small subunit ribosomal RNA", at positions 181 to 929 of the family's 1533-position model. The record is from RNAcentral.
CGAGUUUGCCAUCAACCUUGGAGUAAAGAUUCAUUGCCGUGGGAUGGGGAUGCGUCUGAUUAGCUUGUUGGCGGGGCAACGGCCCACCAAGGCAACGAUCAGUAGGGGUUCUGAGAGGAAAGCCCCCCACAUUGGAACUGAGACACGGUCCAAACUCCUACGGGAGGCAGCAGUGAGGAAUAUUGGUCAAUGGGCGAGAGCCUGAACCAGCCAAGUAGCGUGCAGGAAGACGGCCCUAUGGGUUGUAAACUGCUUUUAUGCGGGGAUAAAGCGGGCGACGUGUCGCCCUUUGCAGGUACCGCAUGAAUAAGGACCGGCUAAUUCCGUGCCAGCAGCCGCGGUAAUACGGAAGGUCCGGGCGUUAUCCGGAUUUAUUGGGUUUAAAGGGAGCGCAGGCCGGGUAUUAAGCGUGUUGUGAAAUGUAGGCGCCCAACGUCUGCACCGCAGCGCGAACUGGUGCCCUUGAGUACGCACGACGUUGGCGGAAUUCGCCGUGUAGCGGUGAAAUGCUUAGAUAUGGCGAAGAACUCCGAUUGCGAAGGCAGCUGACGGGAGCGCUACUGACGCUCAUGCUCGGAAGCGCGGGUAUCGAACAGGAUUAGAUACCCUGGUAGUCCGCGCGGUAAACGAUGGAUGCCCGCUAUUUGCGCGUUAGCGCAAGUGGCCAAGUGAAAACGUUAAGCAUCCCACCUGGGGAGUACGCCGGCAACGGUGAAACUCAAAUGAAUUGACGGAAGGGCGAAUUCG